Molecule: long non-coding RNA, 844 nt
Filed under: Cicer arietinum (chickpea)
Lineage: Eukaryota; Viridiplantae; Streptophyta; Magnoliopsida; Fabales; Fabaceae
Description: long non-coding RNA (CARI_LNC000770)
Source: RNAcentral
GCCAAUCAAUCAAAAUCUACCUUUUAUUUACAAUUUAUCUUUACAUUAAAACACUUAUACUUUAUUUUUUUAUUAGUUAGUAAAAACAUUUUUCAUGGUCCCACUUAACACUCUUUGGUGUAGGAAAUAACUCAUAACUCAUAGACAUAAUUAUUUCCCUGACGUAAAUAAACAUGUAGUCAUUUGUGGCAAGAAAAUCACUGGUUGAGAGCUUUUUUUAGCCGAAUAUGCAGCUACCUUUCAAGUUUAUUAGUUUAUUGGUAUGGGUAAAAAACAAUCCAAACCGCCAUAGACCAAUUAUUAUUAAUUCUCAUGGUGGGUUUCCAUUAACGGCCACUCGACUCGCAUGAUGGAGUGUAUGUAUUAGUCUCGUGAAAUUUUGUUCACACACAAACCACUCUCACCAACCCUAAUUCCUCCUCUUACACAACUCUGCCAACAAAGAAGGUCGCACGACCAACAAUCGUGGUGAUGACAACAAAAUCGAUCCCUUUUCUUUCAUCUUCUUCCAAACAAAAUUCUAUUUAUUUUUCCGUUUGGUUUAUUUAGGGGAAAAUAGUUCAACUUUUUGGUUGUAUGUGGUGGAAAGAUUGCUACAUUUUUUUUGCGAGAUUUGUAAUCAAAUUUACAAUAUAUUGAUAUUAUGCAUGAAAAUGAAGAAAAUAGAGAUAAAUUUUUUAUUGAUCAAAUAAAAAUAAUGAUUACAAUAAUAGGUAUAAUGAAAUUUAUAUAUCUAAGUUAGAACAUCUAAUUUAUAAUUAAGGUAACUAAUUUGUAAUUAAUAUUUGACUAAAGUGACUAAUUUUACAUAUUUAAUAUUCUUGCAUGCUAGAAGGUGCUCGUG